Molecule: ribosomal RNA, 497 nt
Filed under: uncultured bacterium
Lineage: Bacteria
Description: partial 16S ribosomal RNA
Rfam family: Bacterial small subunit ribosomal RNA
Source: RNAcentral
GAUGAACGCUGGCGGCGUGCCUAAUACAUGCAAGUCGAGCGAACGGACGAGAAGCUUGCUUCUCUGAUGUUAGCGGCGGACGGGUGAGUAACACGUGGAUAACCUACCUAUAAGACUGGGAUAACUUCGGGAAACCGGAGCUAAUACCGGAUAAUAUUUUGAACCGCAUGGUUCAAAAGUGAUAGACGUUCUUGCUGUCACUUAUAGAUGGAUCCGCGCUGCAUUAGCUAGUUGGUAAGGUAACGGCUUACCAAGGCAACGAUGCAUAGCCGAACUGAGAGGGUGAUCGGCCACACUGGAACUGAGACACGGUCAAGACUCCUACGGGAGGAAGCAGUAGGGAAUCUUCCGAAAUGGGCGAAAGCCUGACGGAGCAACGCCGCGUGAGUGAUGAAGGUCUUCGGAUCGUAAAACUCUGUUAUUAGGGAAGAACAUAUGUGUAAGUAACUGUGCACAUCUUGACGGUACCUAAUCAGAAAGCCACGGCUAACUACGUG